AACACUAAAUAAUUCGUACUACUUUUCGACGAACGACCUCGGAAACGAAUAUGUACAUGUUGAAAUCCAUUUCUCACACAUAUUUCACUCCAUUUCAUAUUCAACAUGGAGCUUUUGCAACGGACAGGGUGAGGGGGAAACUAGCGACCACCACCUCAUUAAUUCGGGACCCGCGCGGGUAGCGAAGUGUCCGUGCUUCUUCCU
Caenorhabditis elegans is the source of this 204-nucleotide non-coding RNA. The record is from Ensembl. Lineage: Eukaryota; Metazoa; Nematoda; Chromadorea; Rhabditida; Rhabditidae.